CCUACGGGAGGCAGCAGUGGGGAAUCUUGGACAAUGGGGGCAACCCUGAUCCAGCGAUGCCGCGUGGGUGAAGAAGGCCUUCGGGUUGUAAAGCCCUUUAGGUUGGGACGAAGGUUAUUAGGGGACAAUCCUAGUAAUUUGACGGUACCAACAGAAUAAGCACCGGCAAACUCUGUGCCAGCAGCCGCGGUAAU
This 194-nucleotide ribosomal RNA is filed under the name uncultured soil bacterium. Its description in RNAcentral is "partial 16S ribosomal RNA". It matches the Rfam family "Bacterial small subunit ribosomal RNA", at positions 338 to 524 of the family's 1533-position model. The record is from RNAcentral.